RNAcentral lists this ribosomal RNA (303 nucleotides) under uncultured bacterium. RNAcentral describes it as "partial 16S ribosomal RNA". It matches the Rfam family "Bacterial small subunit ribosomal RNA", at positions 507 to 807 of the family's 1533-position model. The record is from RNAcentral.
AGCAGUAGCCGCGGGAAUACAGAGGAUGCAAGCGUUAUCCGGAAUGAUUGGGCGUAAAGGGCUCGCAGGCGGUUUCUUAAGUCUGAUGUGAAAGCCCCCGGCUCAACCGGGGAGGGUCAUUGGAAACUGGGAAACUUGAGUGCAGAAGAGGAGAGUGGAAUUCCACGUGUAGCGGUGAAAUGCGUAGAGAUGUGGAGGAACACCAGUGGCGAAGGCGACUCUCUGGUCUGUAACUGACGCUGAGGAGCGAAAGCGUGGGGAGCGAACAGGAUUAGAUACCCCAGUAGUCCCUGUCUCUUAUAC